UUCAACCAGGAAGUCCUACCUGAGUGGCACAGCUUUUAUUCUCAGUAUCAACAAAUACUUGGAAGGAUAUUUGGAUAUUUUAGAUGGAAGUUUGGUUUAUAGAUUAGCCAUUAACCUUAACCAGCGUCGGACUGGGCCUGCUCCACACAGCCGCCGCUCUGGACCUCCCCCCAUCCGAUCGCAUAAAGAAUUGAUGCAUGUAAAUUGAUGCAUGUAAACCAGAGCGCUCUAGGAGUGUGGUGGUGAAGUAAAGAAGAAAGCACCAAUACCAAAAGAAGACAGAGAGAAUACAAGAAAGACGAUUGGAGAGAUUUGGAGGUGAUGUGGAUAAGGGAAAGAGGAUGCAAAAUCAAGACAGAAAAGAAGCCCUCUAGGAGUGUGAAGAGGAGGCAAUUGGCUGAAGAAAAGUAGAAAGGACCAACAACAUUGAAGAGAAAAAACAAGAAAGAAGAUUGGAGAGAUAUGGAGGUGAUGUGGAUGAAGGCAGGGAAUAAGCCCUCUAGGAGUGUGAAGAGGAGACAAUUGGGUGAAGAAAAGAAGAAAGGACCAACAAAAAAAGAAGAUGGAGAGGAUGCAAGAAAGAGGAUUGGAGAGACAUGGAGGUGAUGUGGAUAAGAGAAAAAGGAUGCAAAAGCAAGGCAGAGAGAAAGAGAUUGGAAGCCAGAAAACAUCAUGCUGGACCAAGAGGGUCACGUAAAAAUAUGCAACUUUGUUCUGGCUGUUGAGAACAUGUUCGUUGACAGGACUAUCACUGACCAAGCAGGGACGCUACAUUACAUGGUACCAGAGAUCCUUCUGGUACAAGUUAAAAAAGAAUGGCCAAAGAACACAGAAACUACCUUGGUAAGUUAUAUAAAAUAUGAGGUGACUGGCUAGAUCCUAAAAAACACAUAUAAGGAUCCGAAGUCGCCCGAAGUUUCCUCGUGAGGUUUACAUAAGUAGGUAGUUAUAGAUGGGUAGGUAGGU
Long non-coding RNA from Xenopus laevis (African clawed frog), 966 nucleotides. RefSeq lists it as uncharacterized. Lineage: Eukaryota; Metazoa; Chordata; Amphibia; Anura; Pipidae. The record is from RefSeq and is a predicted model, not a curated record. The transcript is spliced from 6 exons.